UACGUAGGUGGCAAGCGUUGUCCGGAAUUAUUGGGCGUAAAGCGCGCGCAGGCGGCCUCUUAAGUCUGAAGUGAAAGCCCCGGCUCAACCGGGGAGGGCCAUUGGAAACUGGGAGGCUUGAGUAUAGGAGAGAAGAGUGGAAUUCCACGUGUAGCUGUGAAAUGCGUAGAGAUGUGGAGGAACACCAGGUGCGAAUGCGACUCUUUGGCCUAUAACUGACGCUUAGGCGCGAAAGCGUGGGGAGCGAACAGG
This 252-nucleotide unclassified non-coding RNA is filed under the name uncultured Caryophanales bacterium. RNAcentral describes it as "uncultured Bacillales bacterium contains 16S-23S intergenic spacer region". It matches the Rfam family "Bacterial small subunit ribosomal RNA", at positions 524 to 776 of the family's 1533-position model. Lineage: Bacteria; Bacillati; Bacillota; Bacilli; Caryophanales. The record is from RNAcentral.